RNAcentral lists this ribosomal RNA (484 nucleotides) under uncultured bacterium. Its description in RNAcentral is "partial 16S ribosomal RNA". It matches the Rfam family "Bacterial small subunit ribosomal RNA", at positions 30 to 507 of the family's 1533-position model. The record is from RNAcentral.
AUUGAACGCUGGCGGCAGGCCUAACACAUGCAAGUCGAGCGGAUGAAGGGAGCUUGCUCCUGGAUUCAGCGGCGGACGGGUGAGUAAUGCCUAGGAAUCUGCCUGGUAGUGGGGGAUAACGUCCGGAAACGGGCGCUAAUAUCGCAUACGUCCUGAGGGAGAAAGUGGGGGUUCUUCGGACCUCACGCUAUCAGAUGAGCCUAGGUCGGAUUAGCUAGUUGGUGGGGUAAAGGCCUACCAAGGCGACGAUCCGUAACUGGUCUGAGAGGAUGAUCAGUCACACUGGAACUGAGACACGGUCCAGACUCCUACGGGAGGCAGCAGUGGGGAAUAUUGGACAAUGGGCGAAAGCCUGAUCCAGCCAUGCCGCGUGGGUGAAGAAGGUCUUCGGAUUGUAAAGCACUUUAAGUUGGGAGGAAGAGCAGUAAGUUAAUACCUGGCUGUUUUGACGUUACCAACAGAAUAAGCACCGGCUAACUUCGUG